RNAcentral lists this transfer RNA (69 nucleotides) under Rhinopithecus avunculus (Tonkin snub-nosed monkey). RNAcentral describes it as "tRNA-Ala". It matches the Rfam family "tRNA". From Rfam's summary of the family: Transfer RNA (tRNA) molecules are approximately 80 nucleotides in length. Lineage: Eukaryota; Metazoa; Chordata; Mammalia; Primates; Cercopithecidae. The record is from RNAcentral.
AAGGGCUUAGCUUAAUUAAAGUAAUUGAUUUGCGUUCAGUUGAUGUGGAGUAGAGUUCUGCAGUCCUUA